AUACAUAGGGGGCAAGCGUUAUCCGGAAUUAUUGGGCGUAAAGCGUGCGUAGGCGGUUUAUUAAGUCUGAUGUUAACUCCCACAGCUCAACUGUGGGCUGCCAUUGGAAACUGGUAGACUUGAGUGCGGUAGAGGUAAGUGGAAUUCCAAGUGGAGCGGUGGAAUGCGUAGAUAUUUGGAGGAACACCAGUGACGAAGGCGGCUUACUGGGCCACAACUGACGCUGAGGCACGAAAGCGUGGGGAGCAAACAGGAUUAGAUACCCUGGUCGUCCACGCUGUAAACGAUGAAUACUAAGUGUUGGAAAAAUCCAGUGCUGAAGUUAACGCAUUAAGUAUUCCGCCUGAGUAGUACGUACGCAAGUAUGAAACUCAAAUGAAUUGGCGGGG
RNAcentral lists this ribosomal RNA (389 nucleotides) under uncultured bacterium. RNAcentral describes it as "partial 16S ribosomal RNA". It matches the Rfam family "Bacterial small subunit ribosomal RNA", at positions 523 to 918 of the family's 1533-position model. The record is from RNAcentral.